GUCUCACUUGGUGAGAUGCAGCCUGUGGCGCCAGCCUGUCAGCCUCCUUUCUGUUCUGAUGAGGGAGGGAGAGGUCGUAUGAUGCAGGCUAAGUUCAAUUUUGUGGCUACAGAAAGGGCCGUGGAUGGUACUUUUACCAACCCCUUAUCAUCUGAUGAAUGACUCUGUCUGGAGAGGCUGCCAGAAAAGGGGAAGGGCAAGUGCAUGGACAUCCUGGAGUCUCUCCUGCAGAUACGUGGAGUGGAUGAGAUCAUCAGCUGGCAGGUGUCUGUUGUCCCUUUUGGGUCAAAGGACCACAGCGGCACUCAGUCCAAAGGAGUCAUGUGGAACUCAAAUACCAAGAUGAGGUGAAGCUGAGAACACCCCUGGAUGCCUUCUUUUCAUCACUGUGAGCCAUCCUACCACAGCUGUGACCGACAAUCUUCACUAUCAGUUUGGCUGGACUUAAGUCACCAUGGAAGCACAACUUUGAGCGUGUCUAUGAGGGUGUCUCCAGAAAGGUGCAACCAACGAGGGAAGCCCCACCCUGAAUGUGGGUCACUGUCCCAUGGGCUGGGGUCCUGGCGUGAAUGAAAGGAGAAAGCCUGGUAAACACAGGAGCCAGCUCUUUGUUCCCUGGCUGUGGAUACAAUGUGGCCAGGUGCCUCACAGUCCUGUCUCCUUGUCUUCCCUGCCAAAUUGAGCUGCACUUUUAAACUGUAAAUCCUAGUAAACCCUUCCUCCCUUAAGUUGCUUUUGUCGUGUAUUUUGUUACAGCUUGAGAAAAGUAACCAAUAC
RNAcentral lists this long non-coding RNA (777 nucleotides) under Cricetulus griseus (Chinese hamster). RNAcentral's name for it is "lncRNA (ENSCGRG00000026212.1)". The record is from RNAcentral. Lineage: Eukaryota; Metazoa; Chordata; Mammalia; Rodentia; Cricetidae.